GACACUAACCACAAGCUAUUUCCUUUAGUUCUGCGCUGAAUCACAUAAGAGACGUCUCAUGGGUUGUCUUCUUUUGGCAUAUAGCUAAUGGGAAACUGUAGUUGUUCAGUAAUUUUGCUUCAUUGUYAAAGCAGACAGUAUGGAGGCGAUACAGGAAUGGUUAAAAAAAUCUAAGGGAACUGUGUCUAAUGUGGCUUGUAGCGUCUGCCUUGUGGUCUUGGAGAAGAUUCUGGAGCUGGAGGUUCGGUGUCCCUGCUAUCUUAUAUGGAAAAUUUUCUUUACGAUUGCAUUCUUUAUCAUUCCUGCCCUUUUAUCAUUCUUGCUGAUGCAAAAAGUACAACGACAUAGCUCUAACACAGUAACGUGGAAGGUUAUUUUUUCAAGCCUCAUCCCUCCCUCUGUGUGGUGGAUCCUACUUUUCUUUGAUGGCAGAUACCUUGCUUGUGCCAUGACAAACUGGAAUGAAACUGCUGUCAUUCUUAAUGAAGAUUCUUCUGUGAAAAUGUGUGAGAACGCAGGGAAAGAUCCACAUCAGAAUUUUCUUUUUUGGAAAAUUGUUUCUCAGGGAAUUGGUAUGGCUCUGCUCUUGUUCGCCUGUGUGGGGGUCAG
Molecule: long non-coding RNA, 609 nt
Organism: Salvelinus sp. IW2-2015
Lineage: Eukaryota; Metazoa; Chordata; Actinopteri; Salmoniformes; Salmonidae
Exons: 3
Source: RefSeq, a predicted model, not a curated record